Molecule: long non-coding RNA, 209 nt
Filed under: Mytilus galloprovincialis (Mediterranean mussel)
Lineage: Eukaryota; Metazoa; Mollusca; Bivalvia; Mytilida; Mytilidae
Source: RNAcentral
GUUUAACGCAUGGGAAUGCAAGUAUAUGUACGUAAUAAUUAAGUAGAGAUCCGGUUUUAUUUUUAAAGGAUGAACUCUUGAAACUGUUAGCGCUUAUCAAUGACAUGUUAAGAAAUAGUUAAUAGUCGGAGAAACGGCUCAGACAUGUAAUUAAGUACAGAGAUUCUCUUCCAUGCCGCUUUUAAAAUGAAUAAAUGCCAUCGACCCGC